Molecule: ribosomal RNA, 1287 nt
Filed under: metagenome
Description: bacterial SSU rRNA
Rfam family: Bacterial small subunit ribosomal RNA
Source: RNAcentral
UAGCUAGUUGGUGAGGUAAAGGCUUACCAAGGCGACGAUCUGUAGCGGGUCUGAGAGGAUGAUCCGCCACACUGGAACUGAGACACGGUCCAGACUCCUACGGGAGGCAGCAGUGGGGAAUUUUGGACAAUGGGGGCAACCCUGAUCCAGCCAUGCCGCGUGAGUGAAGAAGGCCUUCGGGUUGUAAAGCUCUUUCGGCCGGGAAGAAAUCGCAUGGGCCAAUACCCUGUGUGGAUGACGGUACCGGAAUAAGAAGCACCGGCUAACUACGUGCCAGCAGCCGCGGUAAUACGUAGGGUGCGAGCGUUAAUCGGAAUUACUGGGCGUAAAGCGUGCGCAGGCGGUUUUGUAAGACAGGCGUGAAAUCCCCGGGCUUAACCUGGGAACUGCGUUUGUGACUGCAAGGCUAGAGUACGGCAGAGGGGGGUGGAAUUCCACGUGUAGCAGUGAAAUGCGUAGAGAUGUGGAGGAACACCAAUGGCGAAGGCAGCCCCCUGGGUCGAUACUGACGCUCAUGCACGAAAGCGUGGGUAGCAAACAGGAUUAGAUACCCUGGUAGUCCACGCCCUAAACUAUGUCAACUAGGUGUUGGGUGGGUAAAACCAUUUAGUACCGUAGCUAACGCGUGAAGUUGACCGCCUGGGGAGUACGGCCGCAAGGUUAAAACUCAAAGGAAUUGACGGGGACCCGCACAAGCGGUGGAUGAUGUUGAUUAAUUCGAUGCAACGCGAAAAACCUUACCUACCCUUGACAUGCCAGGAACUUGCCAGAGAUGGCUUGGUGCCCGAAAGGGAGCCUGGACACAGGUGCUGCAUGGCUGUCGUCAGCUCGUGUCGUGAGAUGUUGGGUUAAGUCCCGCAACGAGCGCAACCCUUGUCGUUAAUUGCCAUCAUUUAGUUGGGCACUUUAACGAGACUGCCGGUGACAAACCGGAGGAAGGUGGGGAUGACGUCAAGUCCUCAUGGCCCUUAUGGGUAGGGCUUCACACGUCAUACAAUGGUCGGUACAAAGGGUUGCCAAGCCGCGAGGCGGAGCCAAUCCCAGAAAGCCGAUCGUAGUCCGGAUUGCAGGCUGCAACUCGCCUGCAUGAAGUCGGAAUCGCUAGUAAUCGUGGAUCAGCAUGUCACGGUGAAUACGUUCCCGGGUCUUGUACACACCGCCCGUCACACCAUGGGAGCGGGUUCCGCCAGAAGUAGGUAGCCUAACCGCAAGGGGGGCGCUUACCACGGCGGGGUUCGUGACUGGGGUGAAGUCGUAACAAGGUAGCCGUAGGGGAACCUGCGGCUG